This 120-nucleotide ribosomal RNA is filed under the name Ignatzschineria larvae. The record is from RNAcentral. Lineage: Bacteria; Pseudomonadati; Pseudomonadota; Gammaproteobacteria; Cardiobacteriales; Ignatzschineriaceae.
UUCCUGGAGACAAUAGCGCUAUGGAACCACCUGAUCCCGUCCCGAACUCAGAAGUGAAACGUAGCAGCGCCGAUGGUAGUGUGGGAGUUCCCAUGUGAGAGUAGGUCAUUUCCAGGGCUU